AGGGGGUAGAGCCCUAGCCAGGGACCAUGCCUUCCUCUAACCAACACUUUCCCAUUAUGUGUUAUUUAAAGGGACCACGCCCUUCCCUUCCCAGCACUUCCCUUCCAUAUCAUUACUAGGAGAGGGGGUGCAAAAAGAAGCACAAGUCAGAAUAACCCUGGAGAAGGUCCUAUCCAUUUCAGAGAAGACAUGUGAGACCACAGUGAGCAUUCAGUGUGGCGCUACCCAGAAAUGGGGCCAGCGCAGAAGCACAGCGACAUCACUCUGCCUUCUCCUGGAGCAGAGGAGCAAGUUGAGAAGGACUGGGAGCAGGCCUGAAAUCCCAGCUGGGCAUGAAGUGUGCUUGUGAGGGCCAGAGCAGGCUUGGCCUCAGCGAGGUGAGAGCUGAGGAAGCCCUCUUGCCUUCCUGCACCCAGAUUCUGGAGUGGCCCACGUUCCAGCCACAGCUUCUGUCUCCAGCCCGCCCUUGGAUUCUCCCUCCUCCACCUCUCUUCUUUCCCUGAAAUCUCUCCUCCACAAACUACUUCAGAACAAGACACACUCUUCCAACUUCUCACCUGCUGGCCCUGACUGAAGGGCUCAAGCAUUAUGACCAUUUUAAAGAGAUGUUUUUUCAAAUACUAACAACAAGAAAAUGUAUGAAUAUUUUCAACAGAAAAUUUACGAAUAUUUUCAACAGAAAAUUCAAGGAACAGGCAUCAUAAAAGACACUGUGUAGCCAAGAACGCUUUGGACGGCCAGGGAGGAGCUGGGUUGUUGCUCAGGCUUUGGGACCGACUGGUCAGGUGAAUGCAGGUGUCUCAGAUCACAUGGGAAGCAGGAGAGGCAGGAGAAUGGUGGUCCAAGCUGCGUGCUCCCAAAUAGCAAACAGUUCUCUUGAUCAGAAAUCCCUAAGGCCUCACAGCACAUAUUGGGCUCUCUCUUGACAUGUCUUGAUGUCCAGGCUCCAGACACAGCACAGAGCAUUUCCUCCCAGCUGCCAGCCCCUCCUGUGUGCUGGUGAGCACAGAAGUGUGCUUGAGGCUCAGCUGAGCACUCAAACCAGCUGUCAGGCAGAUGAGGGGAGCAUUAAGUCUCUGAUAUGCCCUGGCAUUCUCUCCAAGAGUGGCGUGAGAAGGACUGGUCUGCUGCAAGGGACUGGCACUGCACAGGGAGAGCCCAAUUCACAUCAAACAGGAGAACACUGCAACCCAACGGUGUAUUUUCCCUUGCGCACUUUUUCCUUUCAAAAGCAUUCAUUUCAGGAAUGAUGCUUAGCUAUCAGAGCACUGAACACAAAAUCCAAGAUAAUGUGGGCCCUCCUAGUGCUAGAAACACAGCCCUCUGAAUGCUCAGGCUUAUUAAACUGCCUUAAUAACAUGCCUUUUUUUUCCCCUCAUUAACUAUUUCAAAGUUAGUGACUUUGUGGGAUCCUGGGGGAAGCUGUAAAAGGCAGAUCAAACGAAACAGUCUCUGCCCAUCCCAGUCCCUCCACCCUCUGAGCUCCCUGCCCGUCCAUUACCGUAGAAUGCUGUUUACAGCCCUUUUCAUCUCUCACUACCUGCUUCUGAAGAGGAAUGGGGUCGGCAAGAAAAGGGCAGGAGGAAGGAAGUCUGAAGCCAUCGAAGGCUGGGCAUAAAGACAGCAAAUGAGGCAGAAGCGAGCAAAGGGAAGAUCCCUCCUGCCUGGGGCUGAAUUCCCCAUUCUCUCCAGCUUGCUGCAGGUCCUUCACACAAGUCUCUGCUCUGGAAGGCUCGAGUUGCACUUCAUGGACUGGGUGUCUGGACCCCUACUGGACAGCUCCCAGUAGGCACAGAUGCCGUCUCUCACUUGUCAGGGCUCCUGUAGCCUAGCUCAGGCCUGUGGAGGUGCUCCCGGAAGGGUUGAAUGGGCAGAGAACACGCCAGUCAGGGGCCCUUGGGAAAGACACCACGGGAAACCCACCUUCAUUUUUCUUUUUGAAAAAUGAAAAUGCUGCAUAAGACGACUUCUAAGGUCCCACCAAGUCUGCUGAGGUUUUACUAUAGUGCAUGCUCGUUACAGAAAACAUGGAGGACACUGAGAAGAGGGGCCGACUGCCCACCUCCCUAUCAACCAGUGCUGUUAGUGUGAGUUGGGACAUUUACUUCCAGAAUCUCAAAACUGCACUGAGCUUUGAAACUUCAUCCAAAAGGAAAUCAGUUUGUCUAAGAGAUAUCGACACUCCCAUGUUUAUUGCAGCACUAUUCAUGGCAGUCAAGAUUUGGAAGCAAUCCAAUUGUCCAUCAACAGAUGGAUGAAUGAAUAAGGAAAAUGUGCUGCAUACACACCAUGGGGCACUAUCCAGCUGUGAAAAAGAAAGAGAUCCUGCCUUGUGCAACAACAUGGAUGGAAUUGGAGGACAUGAUAUUACGUGAAAUAAGACAGGUACAGAAAGAAAAGCUUUGCAUGUUCUCACUUAUUUGUGGGAGCUAAAAAAUUAAAACAAUUGAACUCAUGAUGAUAGAGAGUAGAAUGAUGGUUACCAGAGACUGAGAAGGACAGUGGGGAAGUGGGGAUGGAUAAUGGUACAAAAAUAUGGUUAGAUACAGUGAAUAAGAUUUAGUAUUUGAUAGCAUGACAGGGGGACCACAGUCAGCAAUAAUUUAUUGUCCAGUCUAGAAUAACUGAGGGAGUACAAGUGGAAUGUUUGUAACACAAAUAAAUGAUGAAUGCUUGAGGUGAUUGAUACCCCACUUACACAUUGCAUGCCUGUAUCAAAAUAUUUCAUGUACUCCACAAAUAUAUACACCUACUAUGUACCUACAAAAAUCAAAAAUUAAAAAAAUUAAAAAUUAAAAAAAGACUGGGCGCAGUGGCUCACGCCUGUAAUCCCAGCACUUUGGGAGGCCAAGGCAGGCAGAAGCUGAGGCAGACGGAUCACCUGAGGUCGGGAGUUCGAGACCAGCCUGGCCAACAUGGUGAAACCCUGUCUUUACUAAAAUUAUAAAAAAUAUUAGCUGGAGAUGGUCACAGGCACCUGCAAUCCCAGCUACUCAGGAGGCUGAGGCAGGAGAAUCCCUUGAACCCAGGAGGCAGACGUUGCAGUGAGCCGAGAUCACGCCACUGCACUCCAGCCUGGGCAACAGAGCAAGACUCCAUCUCAAAAAAAAAAAAAAAAAAUCAGUUCAUAGGAAGUCGUCCCUAGUAGGCGAGACUUGAGCAGGUCACUGUCCUGCAGGGCACUGCCAUGGAAACAAUGGGCCAUGCCUUCUCUACAGAGCUGAGGAUUAAGAGGCCUGAGGCCUCGACACUAUGGCUCACUGUAUUCAGGCUACGGGGAGAAAGCGAAGCUGCAGAAUCACAGGAGUGAAAAAGAAAAAGGAAGUUGUUGGCCAGGCGCGGUAGCUCACGCCUGUAAUACCAGCACUUUGGGAGGCCAAGGCAGGCGGAUCACGAGGUCAGGAGAUAGAGACCAUCCUGGCUAACACGGUGAAACCUCAUCUCUCCUAAAUAUACAAAAAAAUUAGGCAUGGUGGCGGGCACCUGUAGUCCCAGCUACUCGGGAGGCUGAGGCAGGAGAAUGGCGUGAACCCGGGAGGCGGAGUUUGCAGGGAGCCGAGAUAGCGCCACUGCACUCCAGCCUGGGUGACAGAGUGAGAUUCUGUCUCAAAAAAAAAAAAAAAAAAAAAAAAAGAAAGAGGAAGUGUGUGCUUUACCUUGUCAAAACUGAACAAAAAUGUAUAUGUCUAUUAUGUAUCAAGAAAAAAUAAAAUUUUUUGUAAAACUGAACUUACUAUGUCCUUGAAGGAAAAGUCUUCUUGAUUUAUCCAAGGAGAAACGGAAACCCGUUGCUACCAGAUUUCCUCCCAGUCAGGCCUGCACCCUCCCUCUUUUGGGUCCCAUGGAGCUCUCUGGUCCACCAGCCAGGGAACACUUGCCACUUUGACUUCAGCUAUGGGGAUGCAUGCCUUCUCCCAGGAAGUGCAAGCUGCCUUCUGAUGAUAUCGGUCUUGGUGGCCUCACAGCCCUUAGCACAAUGGGUGGUUCAUAGGAGAUGAUUAGCAAUUUUGUUGAACUGAUGAAUUAAUUAUAAAAUUUGGUAAGUAGAUGUGAUAAAUUUUGUAUUGCUUAAGUCUACUUUGGGCAUUUUGGAGGAAUCUCCUUACCCUGUCUUUAAAAUCUUUCUCCUUUCUGAAAAGUAAGAUUUGGAUCAAAUUAAUAAUCAAAUUUUGUUUGAAAUCCACACGUUAGGCAUGUUUUCUAACUCACAAUUCCUACUGCACUUAAAACACCUCCUGUACUUUCCUUUCCCUGAAAGUAUCUUGGUAUAAGAGAUGGCAACCUAUAUAAAUCCAAUUCUCUAGUAACAAGGUAGAAAUUGCACUUAGAAAAAACUAGCUCAUUCUGCUUAAAUAUAGCGAUUUCUAGGGAUUGAGUAAUGUGGACAUGGGUAUAUUUCUGGACUGUCUCCAUUCCAAGACUUCUGUGGGUUCCUGAGAAGAAGCUGAUGUUCUAAUCUGUCUAAAUUACCUAACGCUGGUGUGAGGAUGGUCGAGUCAAAAGAGCUGCUAAAAACAACAUCAACAACAGCCAUUUCUUCCAGAAAACUCAAAGAAACCUUAUGGAUAUAUACUCAAUAGGCAUCAGGACAUUUGUAAGAAAAGAGCCAAUGUAGGCAAAACUGAAUAAAAUAAGAUGUCAAUCCCUGUGACUCCCACGUACCUAUUAUCUAGUCAUUCAUUUGUUUAAUUCUUCCUAUUCAGCCUAUAAGUGUUUCUAAGCACUUAUUUCACUGGCGAUCAACAGUAACCAAUAAAAUUCACUCAUGAAUCAACAG
This 4777-nucleotide long non-coding RNA is filed under the name Homo sapiens (human). Its description in RNAcentral is "HSALNT0198357". Lineage: Eukaryota; Metazoa; Chordata; Mammalia; Primates; Hominidae. The record is from RNAcentral.